AGCUGCUUCCUGGUUCUCCACGUGCUGCCAGCAGCGCUGGAGCUGCCCGAGCCGGAGCGGAGCCGCUGUUCUCAGCUGCAGCCAGGAUCUGCCCCCGGCCCCGCUGGGAUCCAGGCCAGAGAAUAACAUCCAUGUUUCGCUGCAGAUCAUCUCGUCCUCCCAGGGGCAAGGAAAUGGCUGCAAUGGAGCUGGCUCAGGGGCCGGUGACCUUCGAGGAGGUGGCUGUGUAUUUCUCCAGGGAAGAGGGGACUCUGCUGGACCCCACUCAGAAAGCCCUCUACAGAGAUGUCAUGCAG
Long non-coding RNA from Gopherus flavomarginatus (Mexican gopher tortoise), 296 nucleotides. RefSeq lists it as uncharacterized. Lineage: Eukaryota; Metazoa; Chordata; Testudines; Testudinidae. The record is from RefSeq and is a predicted model, not a curated record. The transcript is spliced from 3 exons.